This 616-nucleotide ribosomal RNA is filed under the name uncultured bacterium. Its description in RNAcentral is "bacterial SSU rRNA". It matches the Rfam family "Bacterial small subunit ribosomal RNA", at positions 338 to 956 of the family's 1533-position model. The record is from RNAcentral.
CCUACGGGAGGCAGCAGUAAGGAAUAUUGGUCAAUGGACGCAAGUCUGAACCAGCCAUGCCGCGUGAAGGAUUAAGGUCCUCUGGAUUGUAAACUUCUUUUAUUUGGGACGAAAAAAGGGCCUUUCUAGGUCAACUGACGGUACCAGAUGAAUAAGCACCGGCUAACUCCGUGCCAGCAGCCGCGGUAAUACGGAGGGUGCAAGCGUUAUCCGGAUUCACUGGGUUUAAAGGGUGCGUAGGCGGGUAGGUAAGUCAGUGGUGAAAUCCUGGAGCUCAACUCCAGAACUGCCAUUGAUACUAUUUAUCUUGAAUAUUGUGGAGGUAAGCGGAAUAUGUCAUGUAGCGGUGAAAUGCUUAGAUAUGACAUAGAACACCUAUUGCGAAGGCAGCUUACUACGCAUAUAUUGACGCUGAGGCACGAAAGCGUGGGGAUCAAACAGGAUUAGAUACCCUGGUAGUCCACGCCCUAAACUAUGAUUACUCGACAUUUGUGAUACACAAUAAGUGUCUGAGCGAAAGCAUUAAGUAAUCCACCUGGGAAGUACGUCCGCAAGGAUUGAAACUCAAAGAGUUAGUGCGGNGNGAGAGCGACGACGACGACGACGGAGGAGGAGG